ACCUCCUCUUCACUGAAGUCAAGGUUGAUCAUGAACACUUUUUUUAGGGGUUGUGUGUUGAUAUAGUUUGAUAAAGGAUUUCUACUAGUGCUAAGUUGGUUAGGAUCAGCCAGUUUUCCAGCAUCGAUAAGGUCUUAAAUUUCAUGCUUCAGCCAGAUACAGUUGUCAGUGUGGUGGCCGGGUUCUUGGUGGAAUUUAUAGUAGGUGUUGGG
RNAcentral lists this long non-coding RNA (212 nucleotides) under Ricinus communis (castor bean). Its description in RNAcentral is "long non-coding RNA (RCOM_LNC001521)". Lineage: Eukaryota; Viridiplantae; Streptophyta; Magnoliopsida; Malpighiales; Euphorbiaceae. The record is from RNAcentral.